AAUAAUUGAGGGAAAAUAGAGCUUCGUUUGUGGCGUUUCGAGUCUCUCUCUCAGACUCUCUUUUGUUCUCUUCUUCCUCUCGCGAUUUCCGGCGAGCUUCCCCGCCGUGAAUGCCGUCGCGAUCCCUCUCUAAUCACCACCACGUAAACACCAACCCCCACUCAUUUCUGAUCCUUAACACGAACCCCUUAUCAAUUUCCCUUGAAGGGUACGCAAACGACCGGAUCGAAGGAUCCAAACAAUUAACCCUAAAUCUUCCUAAUCGUGAAACCCGGAGGUAACUCAAGCCAUAGCCUUAAAGCUCUAAGCACAAUCAAAGGAGGUGUAAGAUCGAUGAAUACGAAGAGAGAAGAAGGUGCUCGGAGACUUACAUGAAGUAAUGGUCGAGAUUGACGAUUGAGAAUACCAGAGGGGAAGAUCCAGCAGCUUGACGCGGAGGAGGCACGAAGUGAACGCGAGAAAUAUGAAGUUCUUCUGUGUUGUGCGAUGAUGAAGAUUGAUGAUUGUAGCUUGCAGAAUCUUGAAAUUGCUGAGUGGUGAAUGAAGAAGAUGAUGAGAGUGAAUCGAGAGCUUAAAGUUGCAGCGAUGAAGAAGUGUGGAUUUGUGGAGAGUGAAGGUCAUGCCAAUGGUGUAGAAGUUGCAGAAUAUGAGAGAUGAUGAUGGUGAUUUGUGGAGUGAGGAGAUGGAGAAUGAAGAUGGGAGGGUGAAAGUGUGGAGAUGAAUGAAGUGAAGAAGAUUGUGUGAAGAAGUGGUUGAAGAUCAAUGAAGAAAAAUGGUGGAGCUUUGAAGUGAAGCUGAGUUUUGGUUUUAUAGAGAGUCCAGGAUGGUAAAUUGUGUAUGGGGUUUGGAUAAAAUGCAAUUGGGUUGUUUUGUAGGGUUAUUGAUGUGAUUAGUAUGGCUGUACUGAAUGGUUGAUGGCUUGUGUGGAUUAUUGGCGAGGUUUCUUGAUAUGUUUGAAUUGUAUGGUGAAUAAUGCAGGAUAAUUAAAAUUGAAAACUUGAAUUGAAAUUGAAGGUUGAUAUUGAAGUAAAUGAAGGUAAACUGUUAGUUGUUGCAUACUGUUUUGCUUUCUUUUCUCAAUCAACUGAUGCAGCUUCUCCUACUCUGAGUUUUCUUGUUAUGGCAGGUCUUGGAUGAUGUGUGUAUGCUGCAGGUUUGGAAUAGUGCAGCAAAAUUGACUUGCAGCAGAUACAUGGUUGAGGAUGGGCAUAAGAUGAUCUAUGGACUCUGCCAGUUGCAGAAGUGAAGGAGGAGAUGCUGGAAAUCUGAAUAGGAGGACCUGAACCGAAACAAGAUUCAGAAUAGGAUUCUAAUAUCAUGUUUUGAGUUCUAAUUUGUGCGGAUGUAAUGAUACUGUAGCAGAAUUGGAGUGGUUGAAGAAUAUAUUUUUUUGAAUUUGUAAUGGAUGUUGUAUGGUGUAUUGAGAUUUGUAAUGAAAUUUGGAAACUUGUAAUGAAUGGAUUGGAAUGUGAAAUAUGUAAUAGUUUUGAAUAGAAAUGGUAUAUAUAUUUUCCAUAUUCUCAAACAAA
Vicia villosa (hairy vetch) is the source of this 1529-nucleotide long non-coding RNA. RefSeq lists it as uncharacterized. The transcript is spliced from 3 exons. Lineage: Eukaryota; Viridiplantae; Streptophyta; Magnoliopsida; Fabales; Fabaceae. The record is from RefSeq and is a predicted model, not a curated record.